Impatiens glandulifera is the source of this 510-nucleotide long non-coding RNA. RefSeq lists it as uncharacterized. The transcript has 5 exons. The record is from RefSeq and is a predicted model, not a curated record. NCBI's taxonomy places the organism in Eukaryota, Viridiplantae, Streptophyta, Magnoliopsida, Ericales, Balsaminaceae.
UUUAGAGAGCAGAUCUUCAUCAUCAUCAUGAUAUAUUCCUCGUGGAGCUACAUCGAAUUCCUCCAUCUAUCUAACUAUGUAAUCACUUACGACUCCUCCUUCUCCUGGACGUCGCAAUCAACACACAGGCAAUCACUUUUGUUUAUCUUCUUCUAAUGCUUUGAGAAUACACGAUCGGAGAAAAUCGAUUCGAAGAAGUCUCAUCAAUCCUUCAAGAUUCAGGCUUACCCACCAGACAUUAUUUGUUCGAGUUCACACUAGUUUCUGCAGUCGGAGUCCAUUCUUCUUCUAUAUUGGAUGCUCUUUUCAACAAAUUUUCAGAUUAGUGACUAAGUCUGACUAUUUAACGUUGCGAAAUGGUUUCAUAAGUGUUUAUAUGGGUCCAGGAAGUAAAUUUUACUUCCAAAAGUAUAUCCAAACGUCAUUGGAGGAUGAUUUCAAAACAGUUGUAGGAGUAAGUCAUGUCUUGUGGGCGUCAUUUGUGAUCUUCUUGCUCCUGAAUAUUAAUGG